CGCUCCUUGAAAUUCAAUGAGAGUAAAUGGCAAUAUGCACUCUGGUGAAACGCUACACGUAGUGAAACAGUUGUCGAAUCUGCGAUUAGAGACGGUAUGUAAAUAUUAAAUAUAUUAUUUUUGAUUGAAUAAAAAUACAAAGUAUAUGUGCAAUAAUGUACUAUAAAGUAUGUAUUCAUUGCUAUGUCCAUUCCCCGGUGUAUAUGCAUUGGAUUUGGAAUAGAUUCCAAUUCCUAACAAGAUUUGUGUGUACUUUUAAUAAUUUGCAACUCUUGGAUGAACCUAGUUGUUGCAAGGUUGUUGCCUUCUUGGUAGCAUAAUUAAUAUCCAUUACCACCCAGGGUUUGUCAUGUUUGUAUGAAUAUGUUUACAUGCACUGGACUCUGGUAGCUUAUCUUAUCAAACAGGGUCCCCAGUAAUUGGGAGUAUAAAUUCUGUUGCGGUAACCCUGCCACUUGUACUUUAUAUGUCUGUCUGUUUAUUUGAUGUACUUAUCAUGGGUUCAAAACUUUUACUUUGAAAUUUUAAAACAAGAAAUAACAAUAAUACUACUACUAAUAAUAAUUAAUUAGAUUUAUCAUUAUAAUUGUCAGGUUAACCUAUAGUAGUGACUAUGGUAAUAUACAUAUCUUAAUUAUUCUACAGAAUAAUUCCAUGGAUGAUGUGUCAAUCUAGCAUGAACUAAUUUACACAGAAUACAAAGUGUCAUUUGGCAAAGAUAUUAAUUGUUCCAAUGAUGCCAUUACUGUUGCUACCAAAGUCGCUGAGAAACUGUUGAAAGUGGAACAUUGACUACAACUCCAGAAAGAAUUUCAAUGGACGGUGCUGCAAACCAGAGCUUUUCAAAUAAUAUGACAAGUCUAGAAAUUUAAAAAAAUGUAUUUGGGCAUCAAAAAUUUAGACCAGGACAAUUUGAUGCUAUCGAAGCUCUUGUACCCGGAAAAGAUACCAUUGUUGUGGUCCCAACUGGCUGCCAAAACAAAGGCACCGGUUUGAGUUGAUUCAUUAGGUAUAUCUACAGAAAUAAAAAAAACCCCAGGAGUUAUCCAAACUGACAUAUUAUAUAGGUGCAAAAUUUUGGAUGAAGCUCUGACUGGCUAUUUUUAGCACAACUAUAUCGGGCCAUAUUUAAUGUAUC
Paramuricea clavata is the source of this 1138-nucleotide non-coding RNA. The record is from the annotation of a GenBank genome assembly. NCBI's taxonomy places the organism in Eukaryota, Metazoa, Cnidaria, Anthozoa, Malacalcyonacea, Plexauridae.